Molecule: long non-coding RNA, 769 nt
Organism: Harmonia axyridis
Lineage: Eukaryota; Metazoa; Arthropoda; Insecta; Coleoptera; Coccinellidae
Exons: 2
Source: RefSeq, a predicted model, not a curated record
GAAAAAUGUAACGUUGGGAAGCUUUCCAAGAAAAGGCGAAAAAUUCUAAUUUGUUGUAAUAUGGCAAGAAAAAAUAGAAGAGGUGUUGGUGAUAGGAGAAGCGGCCUGGCCUAGGGCAUUCAAAAAUGUACCAAUGAAAGAUUUACCAGUUAAAAAAAACAUGGAUGCAAAAUUUCAAAUUAUUUUAUCGAGGCUCAACACUUAAGCACAUUUCAUCAAAAACUGAUUAAGCAAGAUCCGCUUCAGAGUUAAUAAAGUCCAUAAAUGUUUUUAACUAUCUUACGGCCUGGAAUAAAGUUUUGUCAGCAACAAUACAAAAUCGUUUUAGAAAAGCUGGUUUUCACAAAAGUUAUGGCGGUUCUGCAUCAAACGAAUAAUGGGAUCCAGAAGAUUAUCAUCCUUCAUCUAUGAUUUCUCUAAUGGAACGGUGUGCCAAAGAAAUGAAAAUUACGCAAAAAAAUCUUAAAAGUUAUGUUGACAUCGACAAUAUUGCAUCAACGGAAGAAAUGAGUUUCAACUUUGAAGAGGCGAAAAUAUGAUUGAUCAGGAAUAUAAAUCACCAGAAAAGAAAAAAGACAGCGAUCUCAAGCUUGACACUGUUGAAAACAAUAACACUAUCACUUUAGAGAGGCUUUGAAAGUUUGUUUAAUACCAAUGGUUUAAGUCUUCCUCUUCUUCUUUCUUGGGACGAGUUGGCAUUCCUCAUCAUCAUCUUCGCUGGAGACUAUCCCAUCGCUUGUGAAAUCCAAGAGUUUUUUAUUUAGAGCAA